RNAcentral lists this ribosomal RNA (433 nucleotides) under uncultured bacterium. RNAcentral's name for it is "partial 16S ribosomal RNA". It matches the Rfam family "Bacterial small subunit ribosomal RNA", at positions 29 to 507 of the family's 1533-position model. The record is from RNAcentral.
AACGAACGCUGGCGGCAUGCCUAACACAUGCAAGUCGAACGAUCCCUUCGGGGAUAGUGGCGCACGGGUGCGUAACGCGUGGGAACCUGCCCUUAGGUUCGGAAUAACUCAGAGAAAUUUGAGCUAAUACCGGAUAAUGUCUUCGGACCAAAGAUUUAUCGCCUUUGGAUGGGCCCGCGUUGGAUUAGCUAGUUGGUGGGGUAAAGGCCUACCAAGGCGACGAUCCAUAGCUGGUUUGAGAGGAUGAUCAGCCACACUGGGACUGAGACACGGCCCAGACUCCUACGGGAGGCAGCAGUGGGGAAUAUUGGACAAUGGGCGAAAGCCUGAUCCAGCAAUGCCGCGUGAGUGAUGAAGGCCUUAGGGUUGUAAAGCUCUUUUACCCGGGAUGAUAAUGACAGUACCGGGAGAAUAAGCCCCGGCUAACUCCGUG